RNAcentral lists this ribosomal RNA (460 nucleotides) under uncultured bacterium. RNAcentral describes it as "partial 16S ribosomal RNA". It matches the Rfam family "Bacterial small subunit ribosomal RNA", at positions 338 to 795 of the family's 1533-position model. The record is from RNAcentral.
CCUACGGGGUGCAGCAGUGAGGAAUAUUGGUCAAUGGACGAGAGUCUGAACCAGCCAAGUAGCGUGAAGGAUGACUGCCCUAUGGGUUGUAAACUUCUUUUAUAUGGGAAUAAAAUGUUCCACGUGUGGGAUUUUGUAUGUACCAUAUGAAUAAGGAUCGGCUAACUCCGUGCCAGCAGCCUCGGUAAUACGGAGGAUCCGAGCGUUAUCCGGAUUUUUUGGGUUUAAAGGGAGCGUAGGUGGAUUGUUAAGUCAGUUGUGAAAGUUUGCGGCUCAACCGUAAAAUUGCAGUUGAAACUGGCAGUCUUGAGUACAGUAGAGGUGGGCGGAAUUCGUGGUGUAGCGGUGAAAUGCUUAGAUAUCACGAAGAACUCCGAUUGCGAAGGCAGCUCACUGGACUGCAACUGACACUGAGGCUCGAAAGUGUGGGUAUCAAACAGGAUUAGAUACCCCGGUAGUC